RNAcentral lists this ribosomal RNA (465 nucleotides) under Vreelandella stevensii. Its description in RNAcentral is "partial 16S ribosomal RNA". It matches the Rfam family "Bacterial small subunit ribosomal RNA", at positions 338 to 795 of the family's 1533-position model. Lineage: Bacteria; Pseudomonadati; Pseudomonadota; Gammaproteobacteria; Oceanospirillales; Halomonadaceae. The record is from RNAcentral.
CCUACGGGGGGCUGCAGUGGGGAACAUUGGACAAUGGGGGCAACCCUGAUCCAGCCAUGCCGCGUGUGUGAAGAAGGCCCUCGGGUUGUAAAGCACUUUCAGUGAGGAAGAACGCUUGGUGGUUAAUACCCAUCAGGAAAGACAUCACUCACAGAAGAAGCACCGGCUAACUCCGUGCCAGCAGCCGCGGUAAUACGGAGGGUGCGAGCGUUAAUCGGAAUUACUGGGCGUAAAGCGCGCGUAGGUGGCUUGAUAAGCCGGUUGUGAAAGCCCCGGGCUCAACCUGGGAACGGCAUCCGGAACUGUCAAGCUAGAGUGCAGGAGAGGAAGGUAGAAUUCCCGGUGUAGCGGUGAAAUGCGUAGAGAUCGGGAGGAAUACCAGUGGCGAAGGCGGCCUUCUGGACUGACACUGACACUGAGGUGCGAAAGCGUGGGUAGCAAACAGGAUUAGAUACCCUAGUAGUC